UGAAGUGAGACGCUUCUGACGCUGUCUGUUGUUCAAUAGUGGAUUGACACAUGGAAUGCGACAGCUGAAACCCAUGUCUUGCAUACGUCUGUCCAGCCUCUUUUGCAAUGACCUUUUGUGUCUUGCCCUCCUUGUGCAAGGUGUCAAUGGUCCUCUUUUGGACAACUGUCAAGUCAGCAGUCUUCCCCAUGAUUGUGUAGCCUACAGAACUAGACUGAGAGACCAUUUAAAGGCUUUGCAGGUGUUUUGAGUUAAUUAGCUGAUUAGAGUGUGGCACCAGGUGUCUUCAAUAUUGAACCUUUUCACAAUAUUCAAAUUUU
Molecule: long non-coding RNA, 320 nt
Organism: Carassius carassius (crucian carp)
Lineage: Eukaryota; Metazoa; Chordata; Actinopteri; Cypriniformes; Cyprinidae
Exons: 2
Source: RefSeq, a predicted model, not a curated record